GGAGAAAUUUGAUUGUUUAACUUCCAAUGAUGGUUAUUUUCUUAUAUGCAAUGAAAUGUUAUGUGAAUUUUUUUCUAUAGAACUGGACAGGAUAAAACUUUACUCAUGCCAAGUAUUUCUUUAUUUGAAACAAGGAUAAAUUCUGCACAUUUUUUUGAAAAGUGCAAAUUUAACAAAGACUAAUAGGGGAAAAUCAAUGGUGGUAUUACACCU
Molecule: long non-coding RNA, 213 nt
Filed under: Mytilus galloprovincialis (Mediterranean mussel)
Lineage: Eukaryota; Metazoa; Mollusca; Bivalvia; Mytilida; Mytilidae
Source: RNAcentral